Molecule: ribosomal RNA, 860 nt
Filed under: uncultured bacterium
Lineage: Bacteria
Description: bacterial SSU rRNA
Rfam family: Bacterial small subunit ribosomal RNA
Source: RNAcentral
UACGUAGGGUGCGAGCGUUAAUCGGAAUUACUGGGCGUAAAGCGUGCGCAGGCGGUUUGGUAAGACAGAUGUGAAAUCCCCGGGCUUAACCUGGGAACUGCAUUUGUGACUGCCAGACUAGAGUGUAGCAGAGGGGGGUAGAAUUCCACGUGUAGCAGUGAAAUGCGUAGAGAUGUGGAGGAAUACCGAUGGCGAAGGCAGCCCCCUGGGCUAACACUGACGCUCAUGCACGAAAGCGUGGGGGAGCAAACAGGAUUAGAUACCCUGGUAGUCCACGCCCUAAACGAUGUCAACUAGGUGCUGGGGAAGGAGACUUCUUUAGUACCGCAGCUAACGCGUGAAGUUGACCGCCUGGGGAGUACGGUCGCAAGAUUAAAACUCAAAGGAAUUGACGGGGACCCGCACAAGCGGUGGAUUAUGUGGAUUAAUUCGAUGCAACGCGAAAAACCUUACCUACCCUUGACAUGUCAGGAAGAUUCCAGAGAUGGGAUUGUGCCCGAAAGGGAACCUGAACACAGGUGCUGCAUGGCUGUCGUCAGCUCGUGUCGUGAGAUGUUGGGUUAAGUCCCGCAACGAGCGCAACCCUUGUCAUUAAUUGCCAUCAUUCAGUUGGGCACUUUAAUGAGACUGCCGGUGAUAAACCGGAGGAAGGUGGGGAUGACGUCAAGUCCUCAUGGCCCUUAUGGGUAGGGCUUCACACGUAAUACAAUGGUCGGUACAGAGGGUUGCCAACCCGCGAGGGGGAGCUAAUCUCAGAAAGCCGAUCGUAGCCCGGAUCGGAGUCUGCAACUCGACUCCGUGAAGUCGGAAUCGCUAGUAAUCGCGGAUCAGCAUGUCGCGGUGAAUACGUUCCCGGGUCU